RNAcentral lists this ribosomal RNA (1446 nucleotides) under uncultured bacterium. RNAcentral's name for it is "bacterial SSU rRNA". It matches the Rfam family "Bacterial small subunit ribosomal RNA". The record is from RNAcentral.
AGAGUUUGAUCCUGGCUCAGGAUGAACGCUGGCGGCGUGCUUAACACAUGCAAGUCGAACGAACCUUCGGGUUAGUGGCGGACGGGUGAGUAACGCGUGAGAAUCUGCUCUCAGGAGGGGGACAACAGCUGGAAACGGCUGCUAAUACCCCAUAUGCCGAGAGGUGAAAUGAAUUUCGCCUGAGGAUGAGCUCGCGUCUGAUUAGCUAGUUGGUGAGGUAAGAGCUCACCAAGGCAUCGAUCAGUAGCUGGUCUGAGAGGAUGAUCAGCCACACUGGGACUGAGACACGGCCCAGACUCCUACGGGAGGCAGCAGUGGGGAAUUUUCCGCAAUGGGCGAAAGCCUGACGGAGCAACGCCGCGUGAGGGAUGAAGGCCUCUGGGCUGUAAACCUCUUUUCUCAAGGAAGAAGAUCUGACGGUACUUGAGGAAUAAGCCACGGCUAAUUCCGUGCCAGCAGCCGCGGUAAUACGGGAGUGGCAAGCGUUAUCCGGAAUUAUUGGGCGUAAAGCGUCCGCAGGCGGCCCAUCAAGUCUGCUGUUAAAAAGUGGAGCUUAACUCCAUCAUGGCAGUGGAAACUGUUGGGCUAGAGUGUGGUAGGGGCAGAGGGAAUUCCCGGUGUAGCGGUGAAAUGCGUAGAUAUCGGGAAGAACACCAGUGGCGAAGGCGCUCUGCUGGGCCAUAACUGACGCUCAUGGACGAAAGCCAGGGGAGCGAAAGGGAUUAGAUACCCCUGUAGUCCUGGCCGUAAACGAUGAACACUAGGUGUCGGGGGAAUCGACCCCUCCGGUGUCGUAGCCAACGCGUUAAGUGUUCCGCCUGGGGAGUACGCACGCAAGUGUGAAACUCAAAGGAAUUGACGGGGGCCCGCACAAGCGGUGGAGUAUGUGGUUUAAUUCGAUGCAACGCGAAGAACCUUACCAGGGUUUGACAUCCUGCGAAUUUCUGGGAAACCGGAAAGUGCCUUCGGGAACGCAGUGACAGGUGGUGCAUGGCUGUCGUCAGCUCGUGUCGUGAGAUGUUGGGUUAAGUCCCGCAACGAGCGCAACCCACGUCUUUAGUUGCCAGCAUUUAGUUGGGCACUCUAGAGAGACCGCCGGUGAUAAACCGGAGGAAGGUGUGGAUGACGUCAAGUCAUCAUGCCCCUUACAUCCUGGGCUACACACGUACUACAAUGCUACGGACAAAGGGCAGCAAACUCGCGAGAGCUAGCAAAUCCCAUAAACCGUGGCUCAGUUCAGAUCGUAGGCUGCAACUCGCCUACGUGAAGGAGGAAUCGCUAGUAAUCGCAGGUCAGCAUACUGCGGUGAAUACGUUCCCGGGCCUUGUACACACCGCCCGUCACACCAUGGAAGUUGGCCACGCCCGAAGCCGUUACUCCAACCCUUGUGGAGGAGGACGUCGAGGGUGGGGCUGAUGACUGGGGUGAAGUCGUAACAAGGUAACC